AUACGUAGGUGGCAAGCGUUGUCCGGAUUUAUUGGGCGUAAAGCGCGCGCAGGCGGUUUCUUAAGUCUGAUGUGAAAGCCCACGGCUUAACCGUGGAGGGUCAUUGGAAACUGGGAGACUUGAGUGCAGAAGAGGAAAGUGGAAUUCCAAGUGUAGCGGUGAAAUGCGUAGAGAUUUGGAGGAACACCAGUGGCGAAGGCGACUUUCUGGUCUGCAACUGACGCUGAGGCGCGAAAGCAUGGGGAGCAAACAGGAUUAGAUACCCUGGUAGUCCAUGCCGUAAACGAUGAGUGCUAAGUGUUAGGGGGUUUCCGCCCCUUAGUGCUGCAGCUAACGCAUUAAGCACUCCGCCUGGGGAGUACGACCGCAAGGUUGAA
This 377-nucleotide ribosomal RNA is filed under the name uncultured bacterium. RNAcentral's name for it is "bacterial SSU rRNA". It matches the Rfam family "Bacterial small subunit ribosomal RNA", at positions 523 to 898 of the family's 1533-position model. The record is from RNAcentral.